CCCCUCUGGCCAAACUAUAUUGCAAGUAAACCUUUUGAUGUUUUAAAAGUUUUUCUUAGGCAGCUAAGAAAAACACCCUGGAAAGUUAUAUUUAGUGAAUCUACCCACGUAUAAAUAUCCCUGAGCUAGUCUGCUAUCCUAUGGCAUCUGGAAGAAAGGUGUUAUUGUUGUAGAUUCCAUGACUGAAGUAUAGAAUAAUCAAUUCAAAGAGACCCUGGGGGGAAGAUUCACUCGCAUAUGCUGUGGAAACUUGGAAUCGAGUUUUUUAUAUUCUUUUUUUUUUUCCCUACAGAUGAAGGGAUAUAGAUGAAUUCAUGGUUUAGCACAAUGUCUAAUGACAUCAUUUCCCAUUCUUGCCUUAUAAUAGUUUGGUAUGUUUGAGACUACUAGCUUUAAAUUUACCAAAAAAGCUUUUUUUGUGGUUGUCAGUCCCUUUUUUUACUAUUACUUUCCUUGCUUUCUGGG
Molecule: long non-coding RNA, 465 nt
Filed under: Bos taurus (domestic cattle)
Lineage: Eukaryota; Metazoa; Chordata; Mammalia; Artiodactyla; Bovidae
Description: long non-coding RNA NONBTAT019364
Source: RNAcentral